UAGGGAAUCUUCCGCAAUGGGCGAAAGCCUGACGGAGCAAUGCCGCGUGAGGGAUGAAGGCCUUCGGGUUGUAAACCUCUGUUGAUAGGGAAGAAGGUCGCCAUGAAAGUGGUUGGCUUGACGGUACCUGUCGAGGAAGCCCCGGCUAAUUACGUGCCAGCAGCCGCGGUAAUACGUAAGGGGCAAGCGUUGUCCGGAAUCACUGGGCGUAGAGGGCGCGUAGGCUGUUUGGUAAGUAGAAGGUGAAAGAUUCGGGCUCAACCCGAAAAUUGCCUUCUAAACUGCCUUACUUGAGGGUCUGAGGGGAAGCUGGAAUUCACGGUGUAGCGGUGAAAUGCGUAGAUAUCGUGGAGAACACCCGUGGCGAAAGCGGGCUUCUGGCAGACUCCUGACGCUGAGGCGCGAAGGCUAGGGGAGCAAACGGG
Molecule: ribosomal RNA, 425 nt
Filed under: uncultured bacterium
Lineage: Bacteria
Description: bacterial SSU rRNA
Rfam family: Bacterial small subunit ribosomal RNA
Source: RNAcentral